Molecule: long non-coding RNA, 714 nt
Organism: Sceloporus undulatus (fence lizard)
Lineage: Eukaryota; Metazoa; Chordata; Lepidosauria; Squamata; Phrynosomatidae
Exons: 3
Source: RefSeq, a predicted model, not a curated record
GAAAUCAGAGUUACUAGAGGAAAGGAAGAAAAGAGGUGAAAUGAAAGGGAAAUGAGAAGAUGGGCAGAUUUAACAUCCCAGGAGCUGUUAAAUCUGAGAUCCGCAACCUUGAAAACUCACAGAGGGGCAACCUCCGUUAUUUCCAGUGGGAUGCAACCCAUUCAAGCGUAUGGGGCUUGGAUAUGCGCUAGCCUCCGUUUUCGCAGGAGGGGGAUCCAGAAUGGGUUCCCCGUGAAAAUGGAGAGUCAUCUGUACAUAAGACACCUGCAGCAUGUGCCACACUUACUUCCUCCGCUCCCUGGUCUCUCAUGCAAUCAAAUUUGUUUCUUCAGGAAUUUGACUGUUUAUAAGAAGCCCUCAAGUAAGCUCACAGAUGCAAAUAAGCAGCCACCCAGAGUUCCUGGAGGGCAGAGGAAUGUAUACAGGGGGCCUUCUGAAGUUGUCCAAAGAUGCCUCAUCCUGGUGCCAAGCCCAUAUACUAUUCAAAUACACUUCUAACGCUCUGGAACAGGAACUACGACUGGGAACAACUUUGUCUCUUUAAGAAAGGCAACAACAGCAGUAUGUCCCAAUAAGUUAGGUAAUUGUACGGCCUUUAGAAACAGCAUAGUGACGUUGAUUCCGCGAAAACAACACUGUACAUUCAGUCUCAAAAACAGCUUUCUUUGCAAAGUGUGAUAUAACAGGCCAGUGACAAACUGGGCAAGUUGCCGA